CUCACUGCCGACGCCCGGCCGGACGUAGACUUCGGCGGUACGGCUCUGACUAUCUACCCAGUUACACGGAGCCUUCCCACAUUGGGAGCUAGAAUACAACCAAACGACACUUGCACCAACACACACACGGCAAUAGAAGGAGAAGUGGACAGCCACGUCCGACCCUUAGACACGAAAGGGAGGCAAAUACUCACACACGACCACUAGCAACCCACGAAAG
This is a non-coding RNA of Pelobates cultripes (western spadefoot toad), 220 nucleotides long. NCBI's taxonomy places the organism in Eukaryota, Metazoa, Chordata, Amphibia, Anura, Pelobatidae. The record is from the annotation of a GenBank genome assembly.